GUCAGAUCCAAAGUCGGACUCUUUAAGCAACCCAGCACUGUCGGAUGUCUUAAGGCCAAGAAACUCAGGGGAACGAGUUGUGUGAGGAUGGCGAACCUGUUCGGGGAUGAUGGAGGCGAUGUGAGGGAAGGUUUGAAGCUUCUCAACUUCAAAAGGUGAGAGCUUUGCAGAGAAGCCAUGGAAGACAGUUUCAUAUGUAUGAAUGACGGCUGCUCCAUCAGUACCAGAAGCAUCUGGGUUUGACGUCGUUGCCUUGUUUGAAGAAAUGGAGGCUAGAGAAGACUCAUACCAGUGCUUGUGGGUCGGGAAAAUAGAAGGUUUGGCAUCUUUGUGAACCUGCACAAUGAAGGUCUUCUUUGAAACAUCGAUCGAAGAGGAGGAAGAAGAAGAAAAUGGGAUGAUGAGAGAGAAGAGAAAGAUUGCUGGAAGAAGGGCAGCCAUGAGAGAGAAGUAAAGUGAAGGGGUUUGGUAAUGGAGGAGGAGGAGGAGGAGGAG
RNAcentral lists this unclassified non-coding RNA (495 nucleotides) under Hevea brasiliensis (rubber tree). Lineage: Eukaryota; Viridiplantae; Streptophyta; Magnoliopsida; Malpighiales; Euphorbiaceae. The record is from RNAcentral.